GGAAACACGGCUAUAGAAUGAGCCCUGAGGGCAGAAGAAAAAGCACAAAACUGAAGGACUGACACUAAUCAUGCUAGCACAUACAUACAUAAGAGGUGCUGGUGCUCAGAUGAUCAUAUCCACCUUCCAGGCUUUAGCAUUUGCUAAUGUGGCUAUCGUGUCCUCCAUGUCCAGGAUUCUUCAGACUUUCUGCUCUUUUGAUAUAAUGGCGUGAUCUGGCAGGCGGUGAUCUGAUACAUUGUAGACCGCAGGACCACAGCCAAUUAAAAUGAUAGAAAGAAGGAAGGCAGAGAUGAAAGAAGGAAGGAAGUAAGAGAGUGAGAUGUGUGGCAGG
Molecule: long non-coding RNA, 334 nt
Organism: Anguilla anguilla (European eel)
Lineage: Eukaryota; Metazoa; Chordata; Actinopteri; Anguilliformes; Anguillidae
Exons: 3
Source: RefSeq, a predicted model, not a curated record